This 68-nucleotide transfer RNA is filed under the name Pygmaeconus traillii. RNAcentral's name for it is "tRNA-Ser". Lineage: Eukaryota; Metazoa; Mollusca; Gastropoda; Neogastropoda; Conidae. The record is from RNAcentral.
AAGAGAAAAUUGGUAUAAAACACGGCUGCUAACUUUGUUUUGGAUAAUUCGAAUAUAUCCUUUCUCUU